AAUAUUGGUCAAUAGCCUAACGGCUGAACCAGCGAUUUGAAGGAAUGAAUAUCAACAUUUUAUUAUUUUUUGAAUAAAGUUCUGGCUAGGAUAAUGAUAAUGACAAUUUCCUAUCUAAAUGUCUUGACUAAGUCACGUGCCAGCAGUCGCGGUAAUACGUGAGAGACGAGCGUUAUUCAUCUUUAAUUGGUUUAAAGGGUACCUAGACGGUAAUUCUUGCCUUAGGAUGGGAACAGAAUUACUAGAGUUUUAUGUGAAAAGCUUAGAAUUGGUGGUGUAGAGAUAAUAUACAAAAAUACCAUUAGGACUGGUAAAGGCGAAGGCAAACUUUUAUGUAAAAACUGACGUUGAAAGGACCAAGGA
Molecule: ribosomal RNA, 363 nt
Filed under: Verpa bohemica
Lineage: Eukaryota; Fungi; Ascomycota; Pezizomycetes; Pezizales; Morchellaceae
Description: mitochondrial SSU rRNA
Rfam family: Bacterial small subunit ribosomal RNA
Source: RNAcentral